This 294-nucleotide signal recognition particle RNA is filed under the name Otolemur garnettii (small-eared galago). RNAcentral's name for it is "Metazoan signal recognition particle RNA". It matches the Rfam family "Metazoan signal recognition particle RNA". Rfam says of the family: The signal recognition particle (SRP) is a universally conserved ribonucleoprotein. It is involved in the co-translational targeting of proteins to membranes. The record is from Rfam by way of RNAcentral. Lineage: Eukaryota; Metazoa; Chordata; Mammalia; Primates; Galagidae.
UGGGCAUAGUGGCACAUACCUGUUGUCCCAGAUACUUAGGAGGCUGAGGGAGUAGGGACAUUUGUGUUGUGAAGCUCUGAGCGAUAGUACUCUAUCCCUAUUGGGUACCGAAAUUAAGGUUGACAUUAAAAUGGCAACCAUCCAAAGGUAAGGGACCAUCAGGUUGCCUAAAGAGGAGCGAACUGUCCUCGGUCAGAAAAGAGCAGACCAAAACUCCCAUGCUGAUCAGCAGUGGGACUGUGCCUGUGCAUAGCUACCAUACUUCAACCUGGCAACAUAGCAAGACUCUGUCUU